AGUCUGCAACUCGACUACAUGAAGCUGGAACCGCUAGUAAUCGCGGAUCAGAAUGCCGCGGUGAAUACGUUCCCGGGUCUUGUACACACCGCCCGUCACACCAUGGGAGUCAGUAACGCCCGAAGCCGGUGACCCAACCUGAUCAGGGAGGGAGCCGUCGAAGGCGGGACGGAUGACUGGGGUGAAGUCGUAACAAGGUACC
This 202-nucleotide ribosomal RNA is filed under the name uncultured bacterium. Its description in RNAcentral is "partial 16S ribosomal RNA". It matches the Rfam family "Bacterial small subunit ribosomal RNA", at positions 1302 to 1500 of the family's 1533-position model. The record is from RNAcentral.